UGGGGGAUAUUGCACAAUGGGGGAAACCCUGAUGCAGCGACGCCGCGUGGAGGAAGAAGGUUUUCGAAUUGUAAACUCCUGUCGUUAGGGACGAUAAUGACGGUACCUAACAAGAAAGCACCGGCUAACUACGUGCCAGCAGCCGCGGUAAAACGUAGGGUGCAAGCGUUGUCCGGAAUUACUGGGUGUAAAGGGAGCGCAGGCGGACCGGCAAGUUGGAAGUGAAAACUAUGGGCUCAACCCAUAAAUUGCUUUCAAAACUGCUGGCCUUGAGUAGUGCAGAGGUAGGUGGAAUUCCCGGUGUAGCGGUGGAAUGCGUAGAUAUCGGGAGGAACACCAGUGGCGAAGGCGACCUACUGGGCACCAACUGACGCUGAGGCUCGAAAGCAUGGGUAGCAAACAGGAUUAGAUACCCUGGUAGUCCAUGCCGUAAACGAUGAUUACUAGGUGUUGGAGGAUUGACCCCUUCAGUGCCGCAGUUAACACAAUAAGUAAUCCACCUGGGGAGUACGACCGCAAGGUUGAAACUCAAAGGAAUUGACGGGGGCCCGCACAAGCAGUGGAGUAUGUGGUUUAAUUCGAAGCAACGCGAAGAACCUUACCAGGUCUUGACAUCCGAUGCAUAGCUUAGAGAUAAGUGAAGUCCUUCGGGACAUCGAGACAGGUGGUGCAUGGUUGUCGUCAGCUCGUGUCGUGAGAUGUUGGGUUAAGUCCUGCAACGAGCGCAACCCUUAUUGCCAGUUACUACGUAAGAGGACUCUGGCGAGACUGCCGUUGACAAAACGGAGGAAGGUGGGGAUGACGUCAAAUCAUCAUGCCCUUUAUGACCUGGGCUACACACGUACUACAAUGGCGUUUAACAAAGAGAAGCAAGACCGCGAGGUGGAGCAAAACUCAAAAACAACGUCUCAGUUCAGAUUGCAGGCUGCAACUCGCCUGCAUGAAGUCGGAAUUGCUAGUAAUCGCGGAUCAGCAUGCCGCGGUGAAUACGUUCCC
RNAcentral lists this ribosomal RNA (996 nucleotides) under uncultured bacterium. RNAcentral describes it as "bacterial SSU rRNA". It matches the Rfam family "Bacterial small subunit ribosomal RNA", at positions 355 to 1375 of the family's 1533-position model. The record is from RNAcentral.